RNAcentral lists this ribosomal RNA (460 nucleotides) under uncultured bacterium. RNAcentral's name for it is "partial 16S ribosomal RNA". It matches the Rfam family "Bacterial small subunit ribosomal RNA", at positions 338 to 795 of the family's 1533-position model. The record is from RNAcentral.
CCUACGGGAGGCAGCAGUGAGGAAUAUUGGUCAAUGGGCGCUAGCCUGAACCAGCCAAGUAGCGUGAAGGAUGACUGCCCUAUGGGUUGUAAACUUCUUUUAUCUGGGAAUAAAGUGCAGUAUGUAUACUGCUUUGCAUGUACCUUAUGAAUAAGGAUCGGCUAACUCCGUGCCAGCCGCCGGGGUAAUACGGAGGAUCCGAGCGUUAUCCGGAUUUAUUGGGUUUAAAGGGGGCGUAGGCGGGUUGUUAAGUCAGUUGUGAAAGUUUGCGGAUCAACCGUAAACUUGCCGUUGAUACUGGCAUUCUUGAGUACAGUAGAGGUAGGCGGAAUGCGUGGUGUAGCGGUGAAAUGCUUAGAUAUCACGAAGAACUCCGAUUGCGAAGGCAGCCUGCUGGACUGUAACUGACGCUGAUGCUCGAAAGUGUGGGUAUCAAACAGGAUUAGAUACCCUUGUAGUC